RNAcentral lists this RNase P RNA (381 nucleotides) under Bacteroidota bacterium. RNAcentral describes it as "RNase P RNA component class A". It matches the Rfam family "Bacterial RNase P class A". From Rfam's summary of the family: Ribonuclease P (RNase P) is a ubiquitous endoribonuclease, found in archaea, bacteria and eukarya as well as chloroplasts and mitochondria. The record is from RNAcentral. Lineage: Bacteria; Pseudomonadati; Bacteroidota.
AGUACAAAUUGGGUUAUCGCGCUUGUGAAAAAUCAAGUGAGGAAAGUCCGGACAGCAUAGAGUAGUACACCACCUAACGGGUGGGGUCUUAUGAAAAUAAGAUACAGCAAGUGCCACAGAGAAUUACCGCCAUGCAAAUGGUAAGGGUGAAAAUGUAGGGUAAGAGCCUACGGAAUUUAUUGGUAACAGUAAAUUGGGGUAAACCUUGUACGCUGAAAUGCCAAAUAGGUCAGGAAUUUGCGGUUACUCGCUGCAAUCAUCUUCGGAUGUUUCCUGAUGGGUUGGCAGAUGGAGGUUCGUUGCGAAGCGAAUCCUAGAUAAAUGAUAGCCCAAAAGUGCUUGCACUUUGGACAGAAUCCGGCUUAUAGAUUUGUAAUAAAA